Molecule: ribosomal RNA, 36 nt
Filed under: Descomyces sp. H7069
Lineage: Eukaryota; Fungi; Basidiomycota; Agaricomycetes; Agaricales; Bolbitiaceae
Description: partial 18S ribosomal RNA
Source: RNAcentral
AAGGUUUCCGUAGGUGAAACUGCGGAAGGAUCAUUA